Molecule: ribosomal RNA, 253 nt
Filed under: uncultured bacterium
Lineage: Bacteria
Description: partial 16S ribosomal RNA
Rfam family: Bacterial small subunit ribosomal RNA
Source: RNAcentral
UACAGAGGGGGCAAGCGUUGUUCGGAAUUACUGGGCGUAAAGGGCGCGUAGGCGGCCGCCUAAGUCAGACGUGAAAUCCCUCGGCUCAACCGGGGAACUGCAUCCGAUACUGGAUGGCUUGAAUCCGGGAGAGGGAUGCAGAAUUCCAGGUGUAGCGGUGAAAUGCGUAGAUAUCUGGAGGAAUACCGGUGGCGAAGGCGGCAUCCUGGACCGGCAUUGACGCUGAUGAGCGAAAGCGUGGGGAGCAAACAGG